GAUGAAGAACGUAGCGAAAUGCGAUAAGUAGUGUGAAUUGCAGAAUUCAGUGAAUCAUAGAAUCUUUGAACGCACAUUGCGCCCUUUGGUAUUCCUUAGUGCAUGCCUGUUCGAGCGUCAUUUAAACCUUCAAGCUCAGCUUGGUGUUGGGUGACUGUCCGCUUCACCGCGGACUCGCCUCAAAAUUAUUGGCGGCCGGUACAUUGGCUCUCGAGCGCAGCAGAAACGCGUAACUCGAGGUCCUCGUGCUGGCUCCCAGAAGCUAUCUUCACAAUUUUGACCUCGGAUCAGGUAGGGAUACCCGCUGAACUUAAGCAUAUCAAUAAGCGGAGGA
Molecule: unclassified non-coding RNA, 334 nt
Filed under: soil metagenome
Description: partial contains 5.8S ribosomal RNA, internal transcribed spacer 2, and large subunit ribosomal RNA
Rfam family: 5.8S ribosomal RNA (bases 1-120)
Source: RNAcentral